GAGAGAGAAAUGUUAUUCUACUUAAAAUUUAAUAUUUUAGUUGGAGUGAGUCUCAACUAUUUUUUUUACAUACUAAAAGUGCCGCAUUUCUUUAAAAAUAAAAAUAAAACUGGACACAUUUCUUUAAAAAAUAAAAAUAAAAAUGCGCACAUUGGUUUAUGUUCAAAUUGUUUCCUUGGUAGAAGAACUUGUGAUAUACUUCAAAUAAAAUGUACUCAAUAAAACCAUCUGCAAAUUCUUGGACAAAAACAAGGGGAUAAGAAUCUGCUGGCAUUCGAGUAGUAGUUUGAGAAUGCUGUUUUGACCAUUAUUGUCUACAUUUGAAUUUUAUAAAUAGGAAUACCAAAAGGUUAUAACUAUGACAAGUAUAGCUAACAUAAAUUCAUAUGUUGCACCACUUAAGUCUAACACGUUACAGCUAUGGUGAUAUGAGAGUACGUAUAACUCUAACCCAUAACUUAUUAUAAAGAAGCCGACGAUCUUUUAUGCACUAAUACAAAAAUUUCAUUUCCCACAUUGAAGUACGUCGAUUUUUAUAAAUAAAAAAAUUCUUAAAGUUUGUCCCACGUUUCACUCAAAUUGAUAGUGUGCAUAUUUCAUGGAGUGUAAGUUUAAUCAUAAAGACUGCUUACUCAUUUUGGCAAAAGGAAAACCCUUAAAACCAAAUAAUAUUGACAUUGAUCUUUCUAGAAAAGGGAAAAAAAAACAGUGAUAUUGAUAUUGCAACUAAAUUGGUUCACAUAUUGAUAUUGUAACUGAAUUAAUUGGUUGACAGCUUGAUUUGCAACAAAAUUCAUAAAAACAAGUUACUCAUGUAACCCUGUCAAUGUCAGUUUUGCGUGAUGUGCCACUCAUAAGAAAGAAAUGAGAUAUUUAUUCAAAAACCUAUUUUAACACGACAUAUUAUACAAAAAGUCAUAUAAAAAGUCAUAUAGAGUAAUGAAAAUAAUUUAAUCAACCCUUUUGGUGGUGGAUUGUAGUGAAGAAGAAAGUGAAUCGUUAGGUACCUUUGAAUACAAAAACAACACUUGCAUUGUGAAAUUUGUUGGAGUGUUACCGUCAAAUCAAAUUAGUAACUUCGAAUAUUAUACGCAUACAUACAUAAUUUUUUAAAAGUAUUUCAAUUUUUCAUACACUACUUAAUUAUAUGGAAAAAUAUGCAUUUCUGCAAUAAAAAAUAUAUAUCAUUUACGUAUUAUACAUGCACAUACUUAUUUUUCUUGAAUAAAUAUAUGUUUUUUCAACUAUCUUGCAAUAAUACACAUAUUAUUUGUGUAUUGUAUCCAUAUUUUUUCACGUACUGAUGAAAAGAAGAUUAAAAAUAAAUAAUUAUAAAAUGACUGGAUUUUUCACCAUAUAUUUUUAAAAACUUUAACAAAUAAUAUACAUACGUAUUUUAUACAUAUUAUACACAGUGGCAGAGUAAGAAAAUUUAUCAAGGAGAGUCAUCCUUAAAUAGCAGAGUGAAAAUUUUACUCAAUGGAUUGACUCAUUUGUUAAAAAAAUCCCGAGAAAUCUUAGAAAUUUGAGGUGUGUUUAUGUCUUAGAAAAAAGCCCCUACUAGAGCCCAGAGGGAUUUUGUAGUGUAUUUGGUUGAGCAACCUCAAAAGAUGAAAAUGAUCUGCCCAUGUAAUAUAGAAAAUAAUUGAGUCAAAUACAACACAUACAAAACACAAAGGGUGAGAAGGGUGAGAAGGGUCAAGUGACCCUUGUGGGCCUUCAUUGGCUCCGCCCAUGAUUAUACACAUCUCAUAUUUUACUAAUUAUGCUAGCAAACAUUUCGCUACAAACAUAGUUAGCUUGAUUUAAAAAAUGAUAAUACAUAGCUUUCAAAAUAAUUAGACUCCCCUCUGUAAAUCCUCAAAGAUACCUUAAUAUGCCCUGUUUUUGAAAUAGGGUAGCCUCCCCUCUCCCUAAACUUUAUAUUGAUUUUUACAACUGAUGGCCUAUUUGAAUUAUAUAUGAAUGCAAUUUAUCGUAGAAAUUUCAGAACCAUGUAUUUGUGGCUAGGUAUUUAGAUUUUGGCUAAGUUUAUUGGUAAAAGAACUCACAAAAUAGUCUGCUAAUAAUUUACAAUACUAAAAUGUAUAAAGUCUAAAAAAGAAUUAUACUUGUUUUGAAUUUAAGAAGCAAAGGAAAACCAACUUGGUUUGGUCACCAAUCCUCUAGAAGCAAAGGAAUUAUCCAACGUGAAUUUAAUAUAAUACAAUGGAGUUGCUUAUAUAUGUACGGUGUUAAAUUAUCAUCCCCUUAUAAAUAAAUAAUAUAUAUCAAACCCCACAGCCAAAUUGGGGUUUUAAAAAUAGAAAAAAAAAGGAAGAAAGAGAAAGAAGAAAGCUACUUUUAUAAUUAUUAAAGAGCUUCACUUAGACAGCUAUCGUCGUGCUUAUGGCUAUGAUGUAGUAUAGUAGAUAUCAAUUAUAUACCAUUAUAAAUACAUAGUCCAAUGUUCUCCGAAAAAUAUCAUAAAUUUAAAUUC
This 2479-nucleotide long non-coding RNA is filed under the name Prunus persica (peach). RNAcentral's name for it is "long non-coding RNA (PPER_LNC003520)". Lineage: Eukaryota; Viridiplantae; Streptophyta; Magnoliopsida; Rosales; Rosaceae. The record is from RNAcentral.